RNAcentral lists this long non-coding RNA (256 nucleotides) under Pan troglodytes (chimpanzee). Its description in RNAcentral is "long non-coding RNA NONPTRT010466". Lineage: Eukaryota; Metazoa; Chordata; Mammalia; Primates; Hominidae. The record is from RNAcentral.
CCAUGUAGAGAGUGACACCCACCCAAUCACUGCCCCUGACCUGACAAUUGCUAAUUGUGGUAAGAACCGACAGUGGCAUUCUCCUGGGACUCUCUUGUGUAUUUCCAGACGCCACCAACACACAAUGGCCUCUACUCCUCCGGUGUAAACAUUGCCAAAUAAGACAAACAAUAACAUCACCACGACAAUCCUGGAAGUGUCGUUGGUCUCUUGGGUAUAAUCAGAUUUCCUCACAUCUCAGGGUAUGGGCAAAAAU